This 30-nucleotide non-coding RNA is filed under the name Rattus norvegicus (Norway rat). Lineage: Eukaryota; Metazoa; Chordata; Mammalia; Rodentia; Muridae. The record is from RNAcentral.
UGGGCCAUGAACGAAAGUGACAAUCUCAGU